CUGCAUGUAAUAUAUGACAGAUAAAUGCAAACUUUCUUAACCUCAGUAACUUGGAAAUAUUUUUUUUUCUUACUUCACAAACCACGAAGGUAGGAGUUCUUUUUCUCAACUUCUUAACUAGAAUUCCCUGAAAGAGUAAUAGCUGAAUUCCUCUCUUAUCUCUUGUUUAUUUUUAAUGCACCUUGGCUGCAUUUUGCUAGGCAUGUUGUUCUGUAUGUGGAACAGAGAUUUAAUAUCAUUUCUUGAAUCUUUAACGCCACUCCUUUGGAAAGAAACCCAUUCUCUUAACUAUUUUGAAAAAUGCAGCAGAAGCUGUAAUUGUUGAGUGGCUCUAAGUAAAACUGCAGAUUCUUUUUCCACCAGGGAAUGAAAGAGUAUGGUUAUGUGGUAUGUGUAAAAGGCAAAAAUUUCUUGUAGCCAAUAAUUGCACAGGUGAACAUCAACUUCACAAACAGCAGUACUGGUGAAUGUCAACAAAAGUUCUUCAGCUUAGUUGAAAACCACAAGCUAAGGAAGGGACAAAUUGUGCCUUGAGGGCCAGAUCUGCAAGUGGAUCCAUAUGGAGAAAUCUUUAUGUGUUGGGAACAUCAUUCAAGUCAACGGGACGCUGUGAGGGCACAGAAGCUUGCCAGGUCCAAGCAGCAAUUUGAAAAGUGUUUUGUGUUCCUUCAAGGGUUGCAUGGAAGAUGCAUAAAGCUUGAAGGAGGCAACAGAAGGCUGAAACCACUCCUCAUCUUCACAGAGCUGGCAUUGAGACUACCCUAGCAGUCUCCACUGCAUAGGCCAAGGCAGUUUCCUGGGCCUGUCAUACAGACAACACAAUCAACGUGCAAGUUAAAACCCCCUUCAUUUUCCUACCCCAAAUUGUAAGAUGAAUAUAGACUUCACAUCAACUAACUCGUGUCCUACUGUCAUGACUGCAAUGUAAGGGCGGGAUUCCUGGUUUCCCUUUUCAGUCAGGCAUUAGAAGCACCUUCUAUCUAGUGAAAGAAUAAAAAGUGUGCUAUUAAUCCUAUAAAGGGUAAG
Molecule: long non-coding RNA, 1026 nt
Filed under: Anas platyrhynchos platyrhynchos (common mallard)
Lineage: Eukaryota; Metazoa; Chordata; Aves; Anseriformes; Anatidae
Description: lncRNA (ENSAPLG00000016657.1)
Source: RNAcentral